This 266-nucleotide long non-coding RNA is filed under the name Olea europaea (common olive). RNAcentral describes it as "long non-coding RNA (OEUR_LNC007028)". The record is from RNAcentral. Lineage: Eukaryota; Viridiplantae; Streptophyta; Magnoliopsida; Lamiales; Oleaceae.
CCAAUUCUUAAAAACAUCAUUAUCAUUAUCACGUGAUCAGAUAAAACUAUUACACGAUGUAUCAAUGUCAUUCCAGCUGUAAAGUCUACCUAUAAAUUACAACACAUUAUCACAUUGAAGUCUCUUUAAAGUUUAUUAAGGAGAGGAGGAGACAGAAACCGGCCGGUCGAUUUCUCUACAGCACUUACUUUCAGUCAUUUCCGGUUCAAUCAACAAGAAGAUGCAUAUACCACCGACGAUUUUUCAGAAUAACGUCGUUUCCUUUG